GAUUGAACGCUGGCGGUAUGCUUAACACAUGCAAGUCGAACGGAAACGAUGGAAGCUUGCUUCCAGGCGUCGAGUGGCGGACGGGUGAGUAACGCGUAGGAAUCUGCCAGAUAGUGGGGGAUAGCCCGGAGAAAUCCGGAUUAAUACCGCAUAAUCUCCAUGGAGUAAAGAGGGCCUCUAUUUAUAAGCUUUCGCUAUCUGAUGAGCCUGCGUAAGAUUAGCUAGUUGGUGGGGUAAUGGCCUACCAAGGCGACGAUCUUUAGCUGGUCUGAGAGGAUGAUCAGCCACACUGGGACUGAGACACGGCCCAGACUCCUACGGGAGGCAGCAGUGGGGAAUAUUGGACAAUGGGGGCAACCCUGAUCCAGCAAUACCGCGUGUGUGAAGAAGGCCUGAGGGUUGUAAAGCACUUUCAAUUGUGAAGAAAAGUUAAUAGUUAAUACCUAUUAGCCUUGACGUUAACUUUAGAAGAAGCACCGGCUAACUCCGUGCCAGCAGCCGCGGUAAUACGGAGGGUGCAAGCGUUAAUCGGAAUUACUGGGCGUAAAGCGUGCGUAGGCGGUUGACUAAGUCAGAUGUGAAAGCCCCGGGCUUAACCUGGGAACUGCAUUUGAAACUGGUCAACUAGAGUAUGGUAGAGGAAAGUGGAAUUUCUGGUGUAGCGGUGAAAUGCGUAGAUAUCAGAAGGAACAUCGAUGGCGAAGGCAGCUUUCUGGACCAAUACUGACGCUGAGGUACGAAAGCGUGGGUAGCAAACAGGAUUAGAUACCCUGGUAGUCCACGCCGUAAACGAUGAUAACUAGCCGUUGGGAGGGUUUACCUCUUA
Molecule: ribosomal RNA, 826 nt
Filed under: uncultured bacterium
Lineage: Bacteria
Description: bacterial SSU rRNA
Rfam family: Bacterial small subunit ribosomal RNA
Source: RNAcentral